CCUACGGGGUGCAGCAGUGAGGAAUAUUGGUCAAUGGGCGGAAGUCUGAACCAGCCAAGUAGCGUGCAGGAUGACGGCCCUAAGGGUUGUAAACUGCUUUUAUACGGGGAUAAAGCGAGUCACGUGUAGCGUUUUGCAGGUACCGUAUGAAUAAGGACCGGCUAAUUCCGUGCCAGCAGCCGCGGUAAUACGGAAGGUCCGGGCGUUAUCCGGAUUUAUUGGGUUUAAAGGGAGCGUAGGCCGCCUGUCAAGCGUGCUGUGAAAUGUCCGGGCUCAACCCGGGCCGUGCAGCGCGAACUGGCGGGCUUGAGUCCGCGGAAAGCAGGCGGAAUUCGUGGUGUAGCGGUGAAAUGCUUAGAUAUGACGAAGAACCCCGAUUGCGAAGGCAGCUUGCUGCAGCGGAACUGACGUUGAGGCUCGAAAGCGUGGGGAGCGAACAGGAUUAGAUACCCCGGUAGUC
This 460-nucleotide ribosomal RNA is filed under the name uncultured bacterium. Its description in RNAcentral is "partial 16S ribosomal RNA". It matches the Rfam family "Bacterial small subunit ribosomal RNA", at positions 338 to 795 of the family's 1533-position model. The record is from RNAcentral.